UUAAGUUCAGCGGGUAGUCCUGCCUGAUUUGAGGUCAAAUUGUAGAUAGAUAGAGACGAUCGUCUCGUCUGGGCCGGGCUGGCACGGGUUAGAAGCAGGUAAGACAUUAUCAUACCGACGACUAGGUUCGUGAAUCGCAGCCGUAAGGCCAAUCCAUUUCAGAGAAGCAAAGCAAAGGGAGUCAAAAAGUCCAAGUCCAA
This 200-nucleotide unclassified non-coding RNA is filed under the name Agaricomycetes sp. Its description in RNAcentral is "partial internal transcribed spacer 2". The record is from RNAcentral. Lineage: Eukaryota; Fungi; Basidiomycota; Agaricomycetes.